Molecule: ribosomal RNA, 412 nt
Filed under: uncultured bacterium
Lineage: Bacteria
Description: bacterial SSU rRNA
Rfam family: Bacterial small subunit ribosomal RNA
Source: RNAcentral
UAAGGAAUAUUGGACAAUGGAGGCAACUCUGAUCCAGCCAUGCCGCGUGAAGGAAUAAGGCCCUAUGGGUUGUAAACUUCUUUUAGACGGGACAAAACCCCUUUACGUGUAAAGGGUUGAUGGUACUGUCAGAAUAAGCAUCGGCUAACUUCGUGCCAGCAGCCGCGGUAAUACGAAGGAUGCAAGCGUUAUCCGGAAUUAUUGGGUUUAAAGGGUGCGUAGGCGGACUAAUAAGUCAGUGGUGAAAGCCUGCAGCUUAACUGCAGAAUUGCCAUUGAUACUGUUAGUCUUGAGUACAGUUGAGGUAGGCGGAAUGUGUCAUGUAGCGGUGAAAUGCUUAGAUAUGACACAGAACACCGAUUGCGAAGGCAGCUUGCUAAGCUGUAACUGGCGCUGAGGCACGAAAGCGUGG